RNAcentral lists this long non-coding RNA (3457 nucleotides) under Gallus gallus (chicken). The record is from RNAcentral. Lineage: Eukaryota; Metazoa; Chordata; Aves; Galliformes; Phasianidae.
AAAAAAAAAAAAAAAAAAAUAAAGAUAAUAAUACAAUUCAUAGUUUUGUAAGAUAUUGCAAAAAUGGUUUAUGUUGCAGAAUAAUUUCAACAGGAGUAUCAGGGGAGAAUAGCGGCUAUUCUCCAAAUUAGGAAAUGAAGUAGUAAUAAUAUUUUUAAACCCUCAAGGAUUUUUAGCUCUCUGCUUGUCCCUAAUAAUAGUCCAUUAUAUAGUACUUAUGUACAUUACUUUAUCCCAAAUAAUAUACCUUCAAGCUGUGUUGCUGUUUUCCUGGAUAUGUAAUGGUCUGAGUAAUUUUUUGUUGGGAAAAAAAAAAUCUUAUCCUUCCUCAUCUCUAUCUCCCAUUGCCCUCAUACAAUCUAUUAUUUUCUCAACUUGUUUGCACAGACUACCUGAAAGGUAGUGUAGGAACAGUCUUUUCUUAACCUUUUUUUAUAUGUGGUUAAAAGUACGUCUGCUUGCUGGUUGGUUGGUUGAGUCUUGUUUGCAUCUGCUGUUGCUUUUUAACCAAUGUAAACUGUUGCCCUGCAGGAGUCAGAGUAGUAUUUUCUUUUUCCUUAUUCAAAAUAUUUUUUGUUUUUCUUUUCCCCUUGAUGUAGUCAGUGCUCUUCAGUAUUUUCUGAAAGUUGCAGUGUGCCCACAGGGAUGGCUGCAUCGUUCCCAGUGAUGAUGCCUGAGAAGGAAAAACAGCUGAGAGUUUUAAAUCUGCUGAGUUUGAGAAAUGUGGAAAUAUCUUUGUGUUUCAACUGGGCACUUUUUUUAAAGCGAGUCAUUGAAGGACUAAUCAUGAAGCCCCAAAAGGGCAUGUUUUGUCACUUUGUGAAAUAGAAUAGCACUAUGUAUUCACUUAAUGAGUGAAUCUGGUUGAUGGCAAAGUCUCUUUUGUUCCUUGCUUCCAUCCUUCCUUCCUCCCCUCUUCAUUUGGCCUACUCUUGGGUUGUACCUGGAUCUCAGAAGUACUGAACAUGUAUUUAGGAAAAAAGACUACCGAUAACUAGUAGUUAUUCCUUCAGUGCUACCAUCAUUGGAAGGAGUUUUUCACUUUGUGUUCAUGAUCACUUUUACUACUCGCAUCUGUUUUGUACAGCUAAGCUGUUCGAUGGUAGUAAAAUAAGUCAGCAUAUGCUUUAUAGGAGGGCAUUUGGAUUUGAUUAUCAAGUGUUGUGUAGAUAAGCUUCUAGGUUCCAAGUAGGACCAAUGAUACGAAAAUCGCUAUUUCCAUGAUAUCUUUCUGAACAGAAACGUAAUGGAAGCUGUACAUAGUCUUCCUAGUACAGAUUCAUGUUUUUCUUUGUAAUGGUGAUUCUGCAUACAGGUAGGCUCAGCGAUUGCAAAAGCUGAUUGCUCUGCAGCGAGAAAUCUGUUGUGUAUCACAAGGUUUUCAUCAUUAACUUAACUGAAACUAGUUUCUCAGACAAAAAAUGGGGAGUUAUUCUUUUUCCUUUUUUUUUCUUUUCUGCUGACACCUAUUUCAGAAUUUAUGCUUCUUAAGGAUAUUAUUCAUCAGUAAAGUGGUUUACCUAUGUUUUGGUGUAAACUUCACUGUUUAAAGCAAGACUAAAACGGUUCUUCUCUCCUAUAUCUCCAAUUUUAUCUGUGUAGAUGUAACUGCUUUGAGGUUUUAAUGCCGACAUCCAUCAUAAAUGUUUAACUUGUUGUCUACCCAGCGGAUGACAUGUGUACCUUCUUCUGCAUGUUCACCUUUUCCAAACUUUUCUGAAGGUGCUGUGUUAAAUUGUUUAGGAGGGGAGGAUUUUCUUAAGGCUAUUCCUUCUCUGUAGCAGUAACAAAAUUUUAAAGGCUAAAAUGCAAAGCUCCAAAGGGAAAAAUAUGUCUUCUAUUUGCUGUUGAGCACAGUUAUUGAGUGUAGUUUCUGUGAAGCCUUUUUUUUUCUUUUUCCUGAAAACCAGUCAAAGCUUCUAUAAAAAAGGCAUUUUCAAUGUAGUGCAGCGUCAUGAUAAGAUCCUUAAAGGUAAAGGUUGGAUUGCUUGGAUUAAUAAUCAAGCUUUCCUGACUGUAGUUCUGGACAAGGAAAUAAUUCCUGAUUCUUUCAGACAUUUUUUGCUGACGUUGCUUUGGGAUAUGAUCAUCUUACCUGACAAAGUCUGGUUGCCGAUUUCAUUAACAAAAUCAAUCAGAGAAAUAAUCAAGGAAUGACUCACUUCUGAAAAUGAAAAUUAGUCUUCCAAGCAAUGUAAAUGCUCUUGGACCUUCUAGUAGCCAGAUUGCCUAUUGAUCUCAUGAUCUGUGGAUCGCUGUAUCUCUUAGAUAAGUGCAUGCCUCCAAGGAACUGCUUGAUAUUUAACACUGGAUUUCAACAGUGAACUUAACUUCCCCGCCUUCCUCCCUAUCCUUGCAUUUUCUUGAUGUUUCAGAAUUUAUCAGCUAAACUUGUGUAAUUAUCACUCAGAGGAUCAUAUUCUCAUAAAAAGAGCUGCAUCUCUGGAUUUUUACUGGUGCCGGAUCAUCUUAGUCAUCUGACUAUAAUUUCCAUCUGUGCAUCUUUUCAUGUUCUUAGUGAGAUAUUUAGAAAGCCAAGAAAAAUUAUGUGACUAGCCUCCCAGCUGAAUCAUUGUAUUUUAUGCUGAAUAUAAAUGCUGUCACAGGAAAUGCGAGAUACUAACUCAGGUCUUUUUGAAUGAUUGAAGGAGGAAGAGGAUUUGUAAACAGUUUGCAAUGUAAUCAUGGAAUCUUUAUCCAGACACUUUUAUUAUUUAAUGAUGACAAUUUUUUAUAAAAAAAAAAAAAUUAUAAAAAAAAUUGUAGUAAUUUUUGUGGUUUUGUUUUGUGUUUCUUUUCUACUCGGUUUUGUGACCAAGAAGAUUGCCUUAAUGUAAGUUAUGUUUUGCAGAAAUUGUCAAGGUGUGGUAGUUCUUAUGCCUCAUUGUUACUAUUCCAUAAUGUUCCAUAUGUGUUAAUAAUGAUGCAUCUUGUUAUGAAAAAUGGUUCAUACAUAUUUUUAGAGAAGAAGUAAAAUGGACUGUAUUAAUUUAAGUGUAAAGUGGACUUGUUUUACUUGUUCAGCUACAUCAAAAACAAAAAGCCAUAAUGAAAUAAUGGAAAUUUGAAGAGGUUUCAAUAUUUUUUAAUUGGAUUAAAUGUUGCAUUUUCCCCUUAUGGUGAUGCCCCAUAUCCUGAUAGAACAUUGCAGGCCUGGUAGCCAAAAUUUAACUGUAUAUAUUUGGCUUUGGCAGCCAAAAGGUUAACAAAACAUUUUGUUUAAUCUUAGACAAAUAGAGAGAAAUUUUAAUCUUUAUUUUUUCCUCUUGUUUUUCUGUAGGCUCAAAAUGAAUAAACAAUGCCCUUUUAAAAGUAUGACUCAUUCAGAAGUACACCUUAAAUGAGGAAUUGUUCAUUUAAUUGAAGUAAUUCCUUUGCCAGGCUUUGUAUUGAUGUGUACAAAUUAAUCUGUUUUUAUUCAUGGUACAAGACUUGUAGGAUUUUCCUCAAGAUAAAA